UAAACGACUCUCGGCAACGGAUAUCUCGGCUCACGCAUCGAUGAAGAACGUAGCAAAAUGCGAUACUUGGUGUGAAUUGCAGAAUCCCGUGAACCAUCGAGUUUUUGAACGCAAGUUGCGCCCGAAGCCAUUCGGCCAAGGGCACGUCUGCCUGGGCGUCACGC
RNAcentral lists this ribosomal RNA (164 nucleotides) under Stenotus pulvinatus. Its description in RNAcentral is "5.8S ribosomal RNA". It matches the Rfam family "5.8S ribosomal RNA". From Rfam's summary of the family: 5.8S ribosomal RNA (5.8S rRNA) is a component of the large subunit of the eukaryotic ribosome. It is transcribed by RNA polymerase I as part of the 45S precursor that also contains 18S and 28S rRNA. Lineage: Eukaryota; Viridiplantae; Streptophyta; Magnoliopsida; Asterales; Asteraceae. The record is from RNAcentral.